Molecule: ribosomal RNA, 652 nt
Filed under: uncultured Bacillus sp.
Lineage: Bacteria; Bacillati; Bacillota; Bacilli; Caryophanales; Bacillaceae
Description: bacterial SSU rRNA
Rfam family: Bacterial small subunit ribosomal RNA
Source: RNAcentral
GGAUGAGCCCGCGGCCUAUCGGCUUGUUGGUGAGGUAACGGCUCACCAAGGCGACGACGGGUAGCCGGCCUGAGAGGGCGACCGGCCACACUGGGACUGAGACACGGCCCAGACUCCUACGGGAGGCAGCAGUGGGGAAUAUUGCACAAUGGGCGCAAGCCUGAUGCAGCGACGCCGCGUGAGGGAUGACGGCCUUCGGGUUGUAAACCUCUUUCAGCAGGGAAGAAGCGCAAGUGACGGUACCUGCAGAAGAAGCGCCGGCUAACUACGUGCCAGCAGCCGCGGUAAUACGUAGGGCGCGAGCGUUGUCCGGAAUUAUUGGGCGUAAAGAGCUCGUAGGCGGCCUGUCGCGUCGGAUGUGAAAGCCCGGGGCUUAACCCCGGGUCUGCAUUCGAUACGGGCAGGCUAGAGUUCGGUAGGGGAGAUCGGAAUUCCUGGUGUAGCGGUGAAAUGCGCAGAUAUCAGGAGGAACACCGGUGGCGAAGGCGGAUCUCUGGGCCGAUACUGACGCUGAGGAGCGAAAGCGUGGGGAGCGAACAGGAUUAGAUACCCUGGUAGUCCACGCCGUAAACGGUGGGCACUAGGUGUGGGCAACAUUCCACGUUGUCCGUGCCGCAGCUAACGCAUUAAGUGCCCCGCCUGGGGAGUACGG